Molecule: long non-coding RNA, 896 nt
Organism: Leopardus geoffroyi (Geoffroy's cat)
Lineage: Eukaryota; Metazoa; Chordata; Mammalia; Carnivora; Felidae
Exons: 2
Source: RefSeq, a predicted model, not a curated record
GAUUCUCUCUCCCUCUCUCUCUGUCCCUCCCCUGCUCACACAUGCAUGCACUCUCCCUCUCUCUAAAUAAAAAUAAACGUUAAAAAAAAGAAAUGACAACAUGUGUUCAGCUGGAUGUUAGAGUCACUAUGGUGUGGUUGCUAUGGUGAGUGUUGUGACCCACCCUUUACUUUAUCAGAAUGGUAGUGUUGACUGCAUUUAUCCCAUGCCUGUCCCUCCAUCAAAAGCUGGGUGGGGGGGGGGGGGUACAGCUAACACAUCUCUUUCAUUUACACGUCUUCAGAUCAAGAGAAGUCACACCCAAAGUCAAAUGAAGAACUACAUCCAAGGAGCCUUACCUGCACUUGUACCUGAUUUAGAUACUGGAUUUAGAUUCUGGACCUUGAACCUGAGCCCAGUGCCAUAAUAGGAUAAGACUUGGGGGCAGGGCUUGCAAGGGGGAGAAGGGGAGUAGAGGCUGAUCCCUGAGCCCAGGGAGGAUCUUUCUCACGUGGGGCUUACCCCAAAGUGUUCAGGUCAAUAGGACUUGUGGAAAAGAAGACGAAAGUGGGAACUGCCUGGAGACCUGCCUGCCCCUCACCAUCAUGUCCUGGCCCUGAUUGCUUGAGGGACUUGAGGGAGAAAAACAAAAGACAUGCUUCUGACAUUCUCACUGAACUUCACUUGUCCUUGGUCAGUAAAGCAAGGGAAGCACCUUAAACACUGUCUGGAAACUUCUUUAGCUAGAUCACCCAGUUUAUUAGGUACAUUUUCUACUUUCUGAGUUACUGAGUUCUGAGUCACGCAGGUGACUGUGUAGCUAAACUUUCUGCCACUAUGCAGAAUGGAUUCCCGUCUCUGACUUUUAAAAGACAUUUUCCUCCAUUUCCUUUAAGCUCUCGUCUGAAGUAUCCUUU